Non-coding RNA from Aedes aegypti (yellow fever mosquito), 70 nucleotides. Lineage: Eukaryota; Metazoa; Arthropoda; Insecta; Diptera; Culicidae. The record is from Rfam.
CUCCUGUUACGUAUACUGAAGGUAUACCGGAUAGAUAGCACUCAGGAUACAUUCAGUAUACGUUCAUGAA